GACGAACGUUGGCGGCGUGCUUAAUACAUGCAAGUCAACUGAAGCAGUGGUAGCAAUAUCGCUGUGGAGGUGGCGCACGGGUGAGUAACACGUAGGUAAUCUGCCUUCAGGUCUGGCAUAACUCCGGGAACCCGGGGCUAAUAGCAGAUGAUGCAGCGGCUCGACAUCGAGACAGUUGUUAAAGCUAUGGCGCCUGAAGAUGAGCCUGCGUCUGAUUAGCUAGUUGGCGGGGUAACGGCCCACCAAGGCAACGAUCAGUAGCUGGUCUGAGAGGAUGAUCAGCCACACUGGAACUGAGACACGGUCCAGACUCCUACGGGAGGCAGCAGUAAGGAAUAUUGCUCAAUGGGAGGAAUCCUGAGGCAGCAACGCCGCGUGAGGGACGAAGGGCUUUUGCUUGUAAACCUCUGUAGUGAGAGAAAAAAAUCCCAAUCUUUGGGACAUGAUGGUAUCUCAAAAGUAAGCCCCGGCUAACUACGUG
RNAcentral lists this ribosomal RNA (481 nucleotides) under uncultured bacterium. RNAcentral describes it as "partial 16S ribosomal RNA". It matches the Rfam family "Bacterial small subunit ribosomal RNA", at positions 28 to 507 of the family's 1533-position model. The record is from RNAcentral.